UUCCGGGCGUCUGCGCUCCGAGCAGAUGCCCGCAGCUUCCCAAGGUGGAUGGUAUUGCACAGGUCUUGCCUCAGAGGCUUUUUAAAAAGUAGAACUGGUCGCAGCUCCUCUACAGUUCUCCGCCGACAGCGACUCCAUAGCUUCCGAGCCAGCUGUUUCCAGCUGUGCUGCCCAAAUUGAGGAACUCUAAUUCGUCUGAAGUGGCUGUGGGAGCUCACGACUCGAAUCUGCGAAUAGUUCACUCCGUCCUGGUUCUGCAGGUCCGCUUUCCCAGCUGAGACGUUGGCUUUGGUUUCUCACCCCAGUUUUGCUCAUUCCACACAUGCUUUGCAGUGUGCAAAUGCUAGGGUGUUUAUAUAUAGAUUGCUAUCUUCUGGGGGUGGUGGGGUAGGGGAGAAGGAUUUAGAAAGAAGGUUGGGGUAAUGAACCUAUUACAAGAAAAUGGAGAUGUGAUUCCAAACAUUGGAUAAAAGUAUCUGCAGUUGUUUUGGCCGAGAUGCAUUUCAUUUAGAAUGAGCUUUAUGGGAGGACUUAUUUUCAAACCACAAAAUUAAAUUUUGAGUGGUGUGCGUAUAUUUUAAAAAGCUGAACUAAGUGCUGUACGUUCUGUUUUGGAGAGGAGGCCCAGGAAACGGGAGGUCUUUUUUUGUUUUGUUUUUAUCUGUUCUAUUUGCCAUGAAUUUAAAAUUUUUUUAACUUCGUUUUAAAUAGGACUAUCCACACAACCAUUGUACUGUAACAUUAACUGUUGUAUAACGUGAAUGUCGAGCAUUGUUUACCCCAAUGCCUCAACCCAGAAGUGUUCCAAAUUUCAAUAAUUUUUUUAAUUUUGGGAUGUGUCAUAUACAUGACAUAUCUGAGGAUGAGACCCAAAGCUAAACGUGGAAUUCGUGUUUGUUUGCAUCCUAUGAACAUAGCCAAGGCAAUUUUACGUCAUAUUUUAGUGUUUCUUGUGUUUCCACUAGCCCUGAGUCAGGAAUCAUUUGUAGAGUAGAAAGUAUGCUAAUAUUAAGUAAGACAGCAGGAGUUUUUUCCAAACCACCAAAGAGUAACAUUUUUGGACUUUUAAGAAGUCUUAGUGUUUGCCCUGGAAGACUUUUUUGUCAUAAACUGGUCCUGGGAAUUGAAACCAGCUGUGAUGAUACAGCAGCUGCUGUAGUGGAUGAAGCUGGACAUGUGUUGGGAGAAGCAAUGCAUUCCCAGACCGAGGUUCAUUUAAAAACAGGUGGGAUUGUUCCUCCAGUAGCUCAACAGCUUCACAGAGAAAAUAUUCAGCGAAUAGUAGAAGAAACUCUUUCUGCUGGUAGACUCUCUCCACAAGACCUCUCAGCGGUGGCAACUACCAUCAAACCAGGGCUGGCCCUAAGCCUGGGCGUAGGCUUAUCAUUCAGCUUACAGCUAGUAAAUCAGUUUAAAAAGCCAUUCAUUCCUAUUCAUCAUAUGGAGGCUCAUGCACUUACAAUUAGGCUAACCAAUAAAGUAGAAUUUCCUUUUCUAGUUCUUUUGAUUUCUGGAGGUCACUGUCUGUUGGCAUUAGUCCGAGGUGUGUCGGAUUUUCUGCUUCUCGGGAAGUCUUUGGACAUAGCACCAGGUGACAUGCUUGACAAGGUGGCAAGAAGACUUUCUUUAAUCAAACAUCCAGAAUAUUCUACGAUGAGUGGUGGGAAGGCUAUAGAACAUUUGGCCAAACAAGGAAAUAGAUUCCAUUUUACUAUCAAUCCUCCCAUGCAGAAUGCUAAAAAUUGCGAUUUUUCUUUUACGGGACUUCAGCAUGUUAUUGAUAAGCUAAUAACGCGCAAGGAGAAAGAAGAAGGCAUUGAGAAGGGGCAAAUCCUGUCUUCAGCUGCAGACGUUGCUGCUGCGGUGCAGCAUACAACAGCGCGCCACCUUGCGAUGAGAACACAUCGUGCUAUUCUGUUUUGCAAGCAAAAGGAUCUGUUACCUCCAGCUAACGCAGUAUUAGUUGUAUCUGGAGGUGUUGCAAGUAACUUGUAUAUCCGAAGAGCGUUGGAAAUUGUAGCAGAUGCAACACAAUGCACUUUGUUGUGUCCUCCUCCAAGACUGUGCACUGAUAAUGGCAUUAUGAUUGCAUGGAAUGGGAUUGAAAGAUUACGUGCUGGCUUGGGCAUUUUACAUGAUGUAGAAGACAUCCGAUAUGAACCAAAAUGUCCUCUUGGAGUAGACAUAUCCAAAGAAGUUGCAGAAGCUGCCAUAAAAGUACCACGAUUAAAAAUGACAAUUUGAUUGGUGAUUAUCAAAGGUCUCUACAGGAGAGUAGAAGCUAGUUUUUGACCGCUACUACAGUAGACUGACUUCUUCAAUGAGAGCAGUUUUAAAAUCAAGCCAGGUCUCAGCUGUAUCUAAUCACAGACUCCUGAGUUAUGACAGAACUUGACCAACAGAAUAUGGACUUUACUGGCUAAAGGACCCCAGCAUCCACAUGGCAGCUCCCAAGUGUCCAGAACUCCAGUUCCAAUGGAUCCAGCAUCCUUUUCUGACCUCCUAGGGCACCAAACAUGCAUGUGGAACACAAACAUAAAUGCAAGCAAAACACUCAUACACGUAACAUUUUAAAAAUUGAUAAUAAAUCUUAAUUUGUUUAAAGGAAAAAUGUUGCUAUGUCUACUGAUUUUGCCAUGAGAUGUUUCUAUAUACUGGACCAAGUUGUUAAUUUUGUGAACUUUCUAGUCUUUGGUGACAUGUUUUAUUGAAAAGCUAGAGAAGGUAAAGAUAAAAAAUUUAGCAUAGAAAAAACUUUUUUUUCAGGUGCCUCACUUUAGAGUAUUCCAAUAGUAGAAUUACAGGCAUAUACCACCAUUCUUAUCUAGAAUGGAAACGUCUCUUAUUUUAGUCCUAUUUUAAGCUAGCUUCUCAGAAAGUUCCAUAAGCAAUUCUUUAGUUCAAUUUAUGAUCACCUACUUUCUCCUAGAAAUGGAGCAACUGGAAACAGCCAUUACUUAAAAUAGCUUUUUAUUCUUUGUUAUUAGUUUGCUGUUGUAUAAUAGGAUUGGUAAAGAAGUAACAGGUAAAAGCAACAACUAGUUCAGGAAUUCACAUUUUACAUUUGGAUUUGCAUUUUGUAUAUGUGAUUAUAAAUUAACAAACUCCUUUCAUGUGACUACUGCUGUCAGGACAUAUAAAUUAUAGAAGAAAAUUUAUGAAAAUUUAUAUUAUGAAUAUACUCAUAAUCUGUGUUUUGAAAAUGUUAAAAGUUGUUCCAAGUGCUAUAAUCAUGCACGUAUGUCAAAAUUACUAAUUAUUUCAUGAUACAAGUAAGGGGAAAGUAUAGCUAAAGAAAAUGUGUGAACCCUAGACAGCAGCCAUGUCUCUAAUCCUUGAAUACUUGGCUUUGAGAAGGUUGGGAUAAGGGAGCAACACUGAAUUCUGUUGAUGAACACAUGCCAAAUUUACCUUACAGUGAAGCAAAGGUAAAUUAGCUUAGUGGGUCACUGAAAUCAAAUGGGGGUUUGUUUGUUGUUUUGUAUUCUUUUGUUUUUGAGACAGUCUCACUCUGUGGCCCAGGCUUGUCUAGGACUCACUAUAUAGCUCACACUGGUCUUGAACUCUUAGCAAGCCUCCUGCAUGAACCUCCCACAUCCUUGAUUACAGCACAUCUGGUAAUGCUCAGUAUGUCCUCGAGGCUUUUUUGUAUAUAAUUUUUAAAAGAAAACAAUACAAUAAUAAAAAUUAAUUUUGAAGAGUUGAGGGUAUCCUCCCCAUGUUCAGAGAGCUAUGCCAGAGAGGAAGCAGAAAGACUGCAAGAAUCAGAGGGGAUGGAUGACUCUACGGGAACAGUGGCCUCCAAACACAACAGACUGAUGUACAUAUGUGCUCAGAGAGAUGUGGCAGCAUGCAUGGGGCCUGCACAGGUCCGAGCCAGAUAGAGUCCCAGUGCAGAGAGGGGAAGUGGACAUGAACUCACAUCUGAACCAAGAAGUUCUCUCCAACUGAUAAUCCAUUUGCAUAGGAAAAAUUAGUUUUCUCCAACGGAGUUUCACUGGGUGUGUUAACCACACUUCAGGAUAGGUCCCGUGCCCAGCAGUAGAUGGUCAACACAAAAUGGACUCAAUGGCAUAUUUGUAGACUUUCUGUCUCAUGUUGGUUUGAUUGGGCAUUUUUGUUUGUUUGUUUUGUUUUACUGGUCUUUUGCUUAUAUAUUGUGGAUCCAAUUUUAUGUUUUUAUAGGUUUGUGUGUGUUUGUUUCUUGUGUUUACUUUUUUAAAAAGUUCUGGUUUGUUUGGAGUUUUUGUUGUUAUUUGCCUAUUUGUUUCCUAAUAAGAAAAAGGGUG
Peromyscus eremicus (cactus mouse) is the source of this 4289-nucleotide RNA transcript. It is a transcript of the gene named O-sialoglycoprotein endopeptidase like 1, with no coding region annotated. NCBI's taxonomy places the organism in Eukaryota, Metazoa, Chordata, Mammalia, Rodentia, Cricetidae. The record is from RefSeq and is a predicted model, not a curated record. The transcript is spliced from 9 exons.